This 582-nucleotide ribosomal RNA is filed under the name uncultured bacterium. RNAcentral describes it as "partial 16S ribosomal RNA". It matches the Rfam family "Bacterial small subunit ribosomal RNA", at positions 355 to 935 of the family's 1533-position model. The record is from RNAcentral.
UGGGGAAUUUUGGACAAUGGGCGAAAGCCUGAUCCAGCAAUGCCGCGUGUGUGAAGAAGGCCUUCGGGUCGUAAAGCACUUUUGUCCGGAAAGAAAUCCUUGGCUCUAAUACAGUCGGGGGAUGACGGUACCGGAAGAAUAAGCACCGGCUAACUACGUGCCAGCAGCCGCGGUAAUACGUAGGGUGCAAGCGUUAAUCGGAAUUACUGGGCGUAAAGCGUGCGCAGGCGGUUUGCUAAGACCGAUGUGAAAUCCCCGGGCUCAACCUGGGAACUGCAUUGGUGACUGGCAGGCUAGAGUAUGGCAGAGGGGGGUAGAAUUCCACGUGUAGCAGUGAAAUGCGUAGAGAUGUGGAGGAAUACCGAUGGCGAAGGCAGCCCCCUGGGCCAAUACUGACGCUCAUGCACGAAAGCGUGGGGAGCAAACAGGAUUAGAUACCCUGGUAGUCCACGCCCUAAACGAUGUCAACUAGUUGUUGGGGAUUCAUUUCCUUAGUAACGUAGCUAACGCGUGAAGUUGACCGCCUGGGGAGUACGGUCGCAAGAUUAAAACUUAAAGGAAUUGACGGGGUCAUAGCUGUUU